AUAAGAGAAAUUAGGUGGUAUGGCUAAAACAAAAACAAUAUUUAGAUCAGUAGCCAAAUACCCUAGAAUACACUGAUACAUAGUGUAUUUUGUAUAAUAUUACACUUCUAACCUUCAACGCAACCGGCUCAACCUGCAAUUUAAAAGAAAAAAAAAUUAUUCAAGAGAGAAAAAGUUAAACAUGGUCAUGAGAAAGUCACAUAUUUCUUCUUCUUCUUCCUAACGUUUUACAUGGUUUUCAUUCCACAUUAUUGUUAUACUAUACUAUUUAUUUCGUUCCAUUCUAUUUAGGUUGAAGGUUUAAAUUUGGGUUUAAAGUUUAUAUUUGAAUUUAGGGUUUAGUGAUUAUAGUUUAAGGUUAAGUAUAUAGGGGUUUAUGGUGGGAUUGUUAUAUGGUUAAUUAUUGAGGGGUUUAGGGUUUAUUGAUUAGAGUUUAGGGUGUAGUACUUCCUCUCAAAUCUAUUUUCCUUUUCAUUUUAUAUAGUAUAAGUGAUAGUACAAAAUAUUAUAUAUUAUUUUCAUAUUUUAAUUUAAUCUAAAAUAUUUUACAUUUAGAUUUGGGUUUAAGAAUUCAAGUUUAGGGUUUAGUAUUUCAGUCUUGGAGGUGUGUUGGGUUUAGGGUUGGAAGUGGGUUGGGGUUGAAUUACAAGAGUAGUCUUCAUUCCAUAUUAGAUAGUAUAGAAUAAUAGUUCAAAAUUUAUAUAUUUAUUAUUUGUUGUUUUUUUUUAAAAAAUAUUGUAACUUUAAAUUAAAUUUAACAUUUGGGUUUAGGUUUAGAGCCUCGAGUUUAUGGUUUAAUAUUUAGGUGUGCAGGUUAGGUUUAGAGUUUAUGAUUCUGUUUUGUAUGAAGAUGUUAUGUUUGUUCUAUCUGACGUAGUACUUUUAUAAAUGAAAUAGAACACUUACUUAAUAGUUAAUCUGUAAGUGGACCAUAUUAAAUUUCAAUUUCUCUUGGAUAUGUGCUCUCGUCGACGUUAAUCCUUGGUCUCACAGUCACCGGUAACUUAGAAAGGAUAAGGACAUAACCGGAUAAAAGAUGUAUGAAAUGUUAUUAAUUUAAUAACGUCUAAAUCAAAACUAUUUACUUAAUUUUGACUCCACUUGGGUAGAUGGCAAAUUCACCCUUUAUAUAAUCACCGAUUUGUAGAAAAGACAUCAGAGUUCAAGGUCAACGAAUUCGUUUUUAUAUUUGCACCUUGUAAUUAUAUGAACGUACACACCUGUGACCUGCCCCAUUUGGCUUGGACCGACGAUAGCUAACUCAUUUGACCUUUGUUCAUUUCAGUUUUGACAAGUGACAUGCCAAUAUUUAAAACUUCCAAAAUUUAAUCUUUGAACAUUUGGGCUUUGAAUACUAUUAUGGU
This 1364-nucleotide long non-coding RNA is filed under the name Brassica napus (rape). RNAcentral describes it as "long non-coding RNA (BNAP_LNC001803)". Lineage: Eukaryota; Viridiplantae; Streptophyta; Magnoliopsida; Brassicales; Brassicaceae. The record is from RNAcentral.